UACGUGGGGUGCGAGCGUUGUCCGGAAUUAUUGGGCGUAAAGAGCUCGUAGGCGGUGUGUCGCGUCGGCCGUGAAAACCUGGGGCUUAACUCUGGGCGUGCGGUCGAUACGGGCAUCACUAGAGUUCGGCAGGGGAGACUGGAAUUCCUGGUGUAGCGGUGAAAUGCGCAGAUAUCAGGAGGAACACCGGUGGCGAAGGCGGGUCUCUGGGCCGAUACUGACGCUGAGGAGCGAAAGCGUGGGGAGCAAACAGG
RNAcentral lists this ribosomal RNA (254 nucleotides) under uncultured bacterium. RNAcentral describes it as "partial 16S ribosomal RNA". It matches the Rfam family "Bacterial small subunit ribosomal RNA", at positions 524 to 776 of the family's 1533-position model. The record is from RNAcentral.